UUCAGAAACCUAAAAAUGGGCAAAAAGCUCCCCAGAGGAAAAAAGAGUAGAAGUGGCAAGGCAGCUAAUGGCUUUGCCAGAAGGCAGGUCUGGGGGUGAAGAGGUAAGGUUUGCUGUGCCAGUUAACGCAUCUGCUUAAAUGCUAGGGCAAGAAGUUGGGUUUUAUUUUGAAGGCAUUGGGAAGCCUUAAUUUUUGAGGAAGAAAAUGAAAAAAAAAAGUGUUUCAGGAACAUUAAUAUGGCAACAGUGUUGAAGUCGAGGAGAAUAACUAGAUUAUUGCUAUAGUACGAAAAAGCUAAUGAAGGCCUGAAUUUGAGUGGUAGCAGUGAGGUGGAAAACAGGGAGCAGGUGUGAGAAAUGUUGUAGCGUCAGAACCCACAGGAAAGGCCUGCUGGGUGUUGGUGCUUGAGAGAUCACGGACUCAGCUCUGCCUAACCGAGUUGUUUCGUUUAUUGGAAGAAAGUGCACGACAGGGAAGUCUGGGGGAGGUAGUCAUCAUGUCAAGUUUAGUCGUCACUGAACUUGAGGGACCAUUAAGACAAUCUGGUAGACAGUCUGCUAAGCAGCUGGAAAUGCAGGAUUCGAGCUUAAGAGAGACUGGGGUGGGGUAAACAUAUGGCAUCCUCUGCCUAGAGGUGGUGGUUGAGAACGUGACAUCCAUGAGAUCACCAGGGAAGAGACUGGGAGCGGAACUAAGGCAGGUAGACAAGGACAGAUCCUUGGGCAAUGCCAAGAACAACAGGAAUGAGAAGAUGAGCCAGAGAGAGUAGUCAGAGACAGAAGAGGAAGCCCAGAGAAGGUGAUCAUGUAGAAGUCGAGGAGAGGGGAGUUUGAAAGAGGAAGUGGAGAGCGUGAUCUCACCUGGCCAGCGUUUGCCGAGAACCUGCUGUGUGCCGGGCGCAGGCGGCAAGACCGGUCAGAGCUGGCCCUUGUGGAACUUGGGUUCUGGUGAGAAAGACAGGCACUGUUUGCAUAAUUAACAGUGUAGUAGCUAUUAUCACUAAGUACAGGAUAUUUGGGGGCCGUAUAACGGUAACACUUCUUGUUUUGUUGUGGGAAUGUGCAGAAAAGGAGACUUGAAGGAUGAAUAAGAUGAGGGGUUGGACACUUUCUACUAAAGUACCAGGUGAGAAAGAGUUGCUAUGUCGAAGGACUUGAAGUAGGUCGUGUGGCCUCAGCAGAGAGUGGGGAUGGCCUGAGAUACCAGGUAACAUUUGGUGAGCGUGUUGUCUGUACCAGGUACUGUCGGCCCUGCUUUCCCUGUAUUACCAGAUCAUGCAGGCAUCAGAGACCUUGUUCAGAAUUUGGUUCUUUACCUUUGGACAGUGAGAAAUGAAAAGAGUGUUUUGAUCAGCAGAGGGAUAUGAAAAGAUUUGAGGGGGAGAGGGAGGUUGUGGGGACUCUGAUGAAGCUAUUACAGGGGCCGGAUGAUAGAUGGAUGAUGGUGGCUUGGUCUGGGGUGGGAGUAGUAGUAAGGAUUGAAAAGAGAGAUGAACUUGAGAGGUGAACUUGAGGAGCCUUGGGCGAUUAAAUGGGGACAGGGAUGAGGAAGUGGGAGGAGUUCAAGCUGAUUCUCUGGUUUCUGGCUGGAGCGAUGGGGCAAGUAUCACUUGAGAAAGGGAAUACUACAGGAGGAAUUGGCUGGGAGAUGAGAGAAGAUCCUGAUUGUGGCUCUGUUAGGGCUGCGUUGAGUAGGAGGCACCUACCUCAGUGACAUAUCCGGGUCACGCUGGCAGUUCAAUCUUGGAAGAGAUGCAUAGGCUGGAGAGAGAAAUUCAUAAUCUCUGGCAGAAGUGUGUGGAUCAAAUUGUCCAUGGCAGUAGUUCUCAAAUUUCAUGGUGGACCAGAAUCACUGGAAGGUUCAAUACAGACUUCUGGGCCCCCUCCCAGGGUUUUUUCUCCAGUAGGUCUGGCGGUGGAGAACAAGAGUUUGCAUUCUAACGGGUUCCCAGGCAGUGCGCGUGCUGCUGAUCCAGAGAACACAUCUUGAGGAGGUAUAGACUGAGAGAAGAGGAGACUCAGAGCCUAACCUUGAGGAAAUCAUUUUUUUUUUUAAGUGGAAUAGGAGGAACCUACAGAGAAGGCUGAAAAAUAAGUAGGAGGAGAAAAUAGUAUUUGUUAUAUUUAGCUGAAUAAGGCUGUGAAUACUUUGGCGAGAACAUUUUCAUGGAGUGGUGGGACAAGGCCAAAUUGCAAGAAAUGUGGCAUAAGUAGAAGGAAUGAAGAAAGAAUAUAAAAGGUAGAUGACGUUCUGAGGAAGUUUUGCUAUAAAACGAAGAAGACUGGCUAGAAGAGGCUUGAGUGUAUUUAAAUGUGAAUAAAAAGAUGCUUGAUGAAAAGAUGCCAGUAGAAGGAAAGAGACUGGGGGCUGGAGGUGGAGAAGACGCAGUUAAUAAGCCACAGCUCAGGGUUCCUGAGGGGAAGGAGGAGAUAGGAUCAGGUACUGGUGGCGCUACGUGGAGAGUCCCGUCCUCGUUUAUCAGGUGGGAAGGAGGAGAGGAGGGGUGCAGGUACGUCUGUACGUGUGGUGACAGGAAGUCGACUUGGUUCCUCUCUCACAGCUUCUGUUUCUUUGUGAAGUAGGUGAGGCCGUCUACUGAGACAGGGAAGCAGUUUCAAGGAAAGUGGAGAGAGUGUGACUGGCCUCUGCAGAAAGUGGGGAAAUUAGUUGACAGGAGAAGCACGAUAGGAUUGCGAGGUUGUGUCGAGUGCCUGGGCGAGAAUGGUGACUGCACAUGUGGAGUGUGUGUGCUCCUCUCAGUGCCCUUGGAGUUUGGGUGUGGGUGGGGAGACGGUGGUUAGCAGCGGAUGGCUGCAAAGCAGAGGAAGCUGUGGCCUAGGGAUGGGAGUGCUUCGAGUACUGGAGAGUCCUUGCAAGGCGGGACUGUGGAAUGGAAGCGGGACAGGAAGUAAAGUGACACACUGCAGAUAAGUCAAGAAAGAGAAAAGAGAUGAAGAAAAACCAUUGUUUAGUGUAGGAAUUUCUGUGUCACUUAUAUGCGUUUGUCAUAGACAAUUCCUAGCAUGAGCAAAGAAUUCACUCCCACCAAUGUCACUGCUACCACUUUCCUAGGUCAUUGACGUUUUUUAAAGUGGUUAAGAUUAAUUUUCUGACGUUCUCCUUUUUUUAAAGCAACAUCUAGGUUUUAAAUUAAACCUACAUUUAAAGCAUUAAAUUUCUUUCAUAUAUCUGUAUCUAUAGAUGUACAUCUGUAACUAUCCAUCCAUCCACAUGCCACACUCUCGGACUUUGUUUUCUAGAAUUCUAAUCUACAGUGAGAAUGAUACGGCUCUUUUACAGUCUGUUUUGGUCAUGGGUUUUGGAAUAUACAUGAAAGGGAUUGUAUAGAAGUAACAUGAUUUCUUCUAACUUCAGGAAAAUAUUUUUUGAAAAUAAUAAAGUAGAUAAAUUGGCAAAGUUAUACCACAAUUGCUGACCUCUUCAGGACUUCAGUAGAAGGAAAAUAAAUUUUCACUAUAUGUGCAUUUACCAGUAAGAAAGGAGGAGUACUAGAAACCAGAGAAGGGAAUCCAGAGGGGAGAGGAAGAGUAAGACAGAAAACUGAGAGGGGAAGGAUAAAACACACAACCCGGAGGGUUUUAUUUUAGGCCCAACUACUGUGUUCUGUUUGAUGAGGGCAAAGAGGCGACAAUAAGGAGAAAGCAGAGGGAACAAGAAACUGGAGGCCUCUAUAAAUUCACAGUAUGGGUAGAAUGGGAGUAAAGAAGGGGAAAAAACCCAAAAAGAAAGAGUGUCUUGUACCCGGAAGAGGGUCCUGGGUCAAAGUGUUGGAAGAAAUAGAGGAGCAGAGGAGUGUAGUCAAAGAGGAGAGUAGUUGUGGCAAGUGUCAAGUUUUAUUGGCUGAAGAGGAAGCUCCUUGGGGUUGAAGAUCUCAGUAAAUUGAGUGCAGGAGUUGGAGAAGAUACCAGUUUAGAAGCAAAAAUUGCCAAAGAGGUUGGCAGGGAGAGAUGACCAGAGCCUGGUGCGAGUGUUCUGUACAUUAGCAAGAGUGUGGAUUUCAGGAGGCGGUGCUGAUAAAUGGUGGCCAUGGAAUUUUCUCCCAAAGCAGCGAUUUAGUCUAAGGUCUCUGUAGACCUCUCUUUGCUCUUUGAGUAGGAAGAACUCAAAGGAACACUUCUUGGGAGGAGGUUGUGAGAAUGGUGAUGUCUCGGGCGGGAGUGGGGGGUAGGGGGGAGGCAGACAGUAAAGGUGAAGAGAUAAAAGGAGUUCUUGAGAGAAAAGUGGAGAAUACAGGGGAGUGUGUCGGUGAUGAGUAGAGUCUCGAGGAUGAUGGGCAGUGAAGUUGUUGUGGAGAGGGAGAGGCUGAGCCUAAUGAGGGUCCUGGGGAUUAGCGGGGUAAGCAGUCUGCCCUAAAGCAGCCGUGAGUAGAUGUGACAGGGAGAGGAACACCAAAGUUGCUGGACAGGCUGAAGCAGUGGCCUCCAACCCUUCUCACCGUGUAUCCUGUGUUUGCAAUGGCUGCUGCUGUGAACCUGGAACUUGAUCCCAUUUUUUUGAAAGCACUGGGCUUCUUACAUUCGAAGAGUAAGGACUCUGCUGAAAAGCUGAAGGCAUUACUUGAUGAAUCUUUGGCUCGGGGCGUUGAUUCAAGUUACCGUCCAUCCCAAAAGGAUGUGGAGCCACCCAAAAUUUCAAGCACAAAAACUAUUUCCAUUAAGCAAGAGCCCAAAACCUCAUCCAGUCUUCCUUCUGGCAGUAAUAAUGGCAGGGCCCUCACAGCGGAGAAGGUGAAGAAGGAGGCUGAGAAGAGGCCUGCGGAUAAGGUGAAAUCUGACAUCACUGAAGCACUUGAUCUUCCCAAGAAACCUAGAUUGGAGAAACCAGAGACACGGUCCUCUCCCAUUACCGUCCAGACCAGCAAGGACUUAGCCAUGGCUGACCUGUCCAGUUUCGAGGAGACCAGUGCUGACGAUUUUGCCAUGGAGAUGGGCUUGGCCUGUGUUGUUUGUAGGCAAAUGACGGUGGCAUCUGGUAAUCAGUUAGUGGAAUGUCAGGAGUGCCACAAUCUCUACCACCAAGAUUGCCACAAGCCGCAGGUGACAGACAAGGAAGUGAAUGACCCUCGCCUGGUGUGGUACUGUGCCCGAUGCACCAGACAAAUGAAGAGAAUGGCUCAAAAAACUCAGAAACCACCCCAGAAACCAGCCCCCACCGUUGUUUCUGUAGUUCCAGCUGUCAAAGACCCAUUGGUUAAGAAAACAGAAACUAAAUUCAAACCAGAGACAACUUUUCAAGCAUUUAAGAGAACGGAAGUCAAGCCAUCCACAGUUAUUUCAGGAAAUUUUUCCACUACCAGUGUUUCUUCUUCAGUAACUAGUGGCCUCACUGGAUGGGCAGCUUUUGCAGUCAAAACUUCUGGGGGUCCAUCAGCAGCAAAACUGAGUCUAUCGACCCAGAACAGCAGCGGGAAACCUGCGGCCUCGUCAGCUAACCAGAAGCCUGUGGGUCUGACUGGUCUGGCCAGCUCCUCCAAAGGCGGAAUAGGUUCCAAAGUAGGUUCCAGCAGCAGCACCACACCCACCGUGCCCCUGAAGCCCCCUCCGCCUCUGACUUUGGGCAAAACCAGCCUUAGUCGCUCAGUUAGUUGUGACAAUGUCAGCAAAGUAGGUCUUCCUAGUCCAAGUAGCUUAGUUCCAGGAAGUAGCAGCCAACUAAGUGGGAAUGGGAAUAGCGGGACAUCAGGGCCUAGCGGAAGUACCGCCGGCAAAACCACCGCAGAACCAAGCAGCUCUCCCUCCACGUCCCUUAAAGGUCCCACUUCCCAGGAAUCACAGCUCAAUGCCAUGAAGCGGUUACAGAUGGUCAAGAAGAAAGCCGCGCAGAAGAAACUCAAGAAGUAAUGUGGCCAAGAAGAUGCGAGGCGUUCUGGAUCAGAGGAGCAGUUUAUUUCUCAUAGAAAAUGCAGCAGCCGCGCUGUACUUCCUGAAUACCUCAUUUCAUCCAGAAACUGCCAGUUCGGCAAAUUCCCACACUGAGCGGCCUUGUUCCUUCAGCUGAGAAGAGUCGCUGAAUCUUGGCUGUGAGCCUCCAAGCUCAGACUCUUCCCUUUCUCCCUAGGUUUUUCUAACAUCAUUAUUCUAAAAUACAUUGCUCUGACAGUUCAUGUGGCCUCAGCACCUACCGGACAUUCAAGCAGCGACGCACGCGGCUGGCACACUGGCCCUCAAGCGGGAAAAUGUCCUCCUGUCACCGUCAACAUAUGUGCUGCACCGAGUUGAGGGGAGAAGCAAUUAUUGUAGCGUCUGGUGCUUCAGAAGAGUUGUUUAGUAGUGUUUUCAUUGGUCGGGGCUCUUGUUGUAGAUUGUGUGUACGUACAAGUAUUUAGAGUCCGCACAUCUGUGUAAGUAUGCGUACAUCUAGUAGUGUGUGACUCAGUUUGGUAUUUUCUAGAGGUGUAUUUGGCAUUAGAGUUUGUCUUCAAGGAGCUCUUAGAGCAUGGUUUUCCCAUGUCGUUAAGUGAGCUCCAAGGCUUUUUGACUGAGCAUGUGAUGAAAGUGGCCACUCUGUAUUAGUAGUAUUUAUCAUAUAUUUUGUUUUGUUGUGUAUAGCUCGUCUUUCUCGCUAGAAUAUAAGUUGUGUGAGGGCAGGGAUCUUGUCUUGCACACUGGUAUUCCCGCUGCAGCUCUCAGUGAAUAUUUAUGGGCUCGAUGAAUGAAUAGACAGAUAAGUAAAUAAGCCAACAGGUAAACUUUUAGAAUGGUAGGUCAAAUCCCAUUUUAGUAGAAAUUUGGUCAGUAUCACUUUUCUGUUUUGCAUAUUGUGCUGUUAGAUUAUUAAUCACAGAUUUUAGUUACUUUCAAAAAAAAAGGAACACUGGCUUAAAGUCAGAAGACCUGGUUUUGAACUCCAGUUCCUCCACGUAUUAGCUGUGUGAUCCUGGUUCCCUCCACUGUAAACGUCGCUGUUAGUGCCUUUGAGCCGAUUCCGACUCCUGGAGACCAACCCUGUGGGCAGCGGAACGCAGCCUUGCCCGCUCUUUCUGCACCAUCCUCUCACCAUCCGGCGCCGUUUCGGAUGCUGCUCCACUGCUGCCACUCACAGGGUUUUCAUGGUCAGUGUGUUUGGAAGUGGGUGGCCAGGUCCUUCUUCCUAGUCUCUCUAUUCUGGAAUCUCUGCUGAAACCUGUCCGCCAUGGGUGACCCUGCUGGUAUUUGAAAUCUUGGUGGCACAGCUUUCAAUAUCACAGCAACCCUCAGCCACCAGUGUGACAACCGACAGAUGGGUUGUGUGGUUCCCUGACGAGGAAACAAACCUGGAUUGUAGUGGUGAGAGCGCCAGAUCUUAACCACUAGACUACCAGGGCUGACCUAUAAAACACAGAUGAUAAUUAAUGAGAUAAAAUAGCAGGCAUCUAAUAUUCAAAGGUUAGGGUAAUUCUGUCUCUUAACACGGAUGUGGUGGUACUGUUUAUUAGUAACUGAGAUUAUAAAUUAUAUUGUGAUAGCCAUAGGUUAUAUAGGAAAUACAUCAUUUUACAGAAAUUUUAUUAAUGCAGUAAUUACAAAAAUUAUAUAAGCAACUAGAGAAAGCUAUAAAUACAUUUCUAUAGCAUAAUAUUGUUUUUUUAAGUAAGAUAAGCUUUAUUUAAUUUCCUAAGAAUACAUCCCCUAGAUUUUUGAACAGGAACAUCUCAUUCCAGUGUAUGCUGGAGUGUGACUUGUUCUCCCUAAAAUCUAAAGCACUCUUGCCUGUCUCUAGAGGGUGAUGUCAUGACAGCAGCAGCUGGCCUGCAGAGGCUCGGCUUCAACUCCAGCAGCCCUGGAGUGAAGAUUUGUUAUAUUGGAAUAAUUUUGUACAUCACAGAGAAUGUAAUGACUGGGUUUUUAUAUGUAUUUUUUAGUAUGUAUAAGAAGAGGGAAGGUAACUGAAAAAAUUAGACUUUAAAAAUAAUAACAUUCUAUAGAUACUAGUAUAUCGCUGGAGAGUAUACAGUCUAAUGUCCUUCCAGUCAAUGACAUUUCCUUUCUUCCUCAUUAACUAUAAAGUAAAUUUACAUAUCUGAUUUAGCUCAGAUUUCAUGAGGUCUAGAUGUGCUCAGCAUUGAGCAGUGCAUUGAGUACCUUAAGAAGCCAUAGUCACAACAAACAGGAUUUAAAUAAAGUGGUCUUCUUGCCAUCUCAGAAUGUAAAGAUUUCUUCUCUUUAUUCACAUGGCUUUGAGAGGUUUUUUUUUUGCAAUAGACAAAAAUCCAAGAAGUUUAUGGGAAAAAUGAAGAGUUUUUAAUUCCAUAUUUCAGAAAUGAAAACACUAAUUUUUUGUAAAUCAUCUGAAUUAUUCAUCACAAAUAAUGUCAGGCACUUAAUAGCCAUCUCUAAAAGUCCAAAGUGCAUUUUAGGCAAAAUCUGGAAUGUAUCAGCACUUAAAGUAUUUCAUGCAGUGCUGCAUUUGUAGCGCUAACCGUGUGCGUUGUGUCUCUUCUGCACAACUCAACCUUCGUAGAAUUGUUUUAUAGCAAUGAAUAUUAAAGAGGAUAUUUUUCUGAGAUAUAAAGAAUGUUUAACUAAUGGCUUUUUGACUUUUUCACGUGAUUUAAGCACCCAUGAUAAUUUUGUAUAACUGAUUUUUUAUAAUUUCUAAAGUUUU
Equus quagga is the source of this 8605-nucleotide RNA transcript. It is a transcript of the gene named integrator complex subunit 12, with no coding region annotated. The record is from RefSeq and is a predicted model, not a curated record. Lineage: Eukaryota; Metazoa; Chordata; Mammalia; Perissodactyla; Equidae. The transcript is spliced from 9 exons.